AGGAGACAGAGGGCUUCGAUCCCACAAUCAACUAGUUAACAGCUAGCACACCUGACCAAUGGCACUGACUCC
This 72-nucleotide transfer RNA is filed under the name Ctenophorus femoralis. RNAcentral describes it as "tRNA-Asn". Lineage: Eukaryota; Metazoa; Chordata; Lepidosauria; Squamata; Agamidae. The record is from RNAcentral.